Molecule: transfer RNA, 77 nt
Filed under: Alphaproteobacteria bacterium
Lineage: Bacteria; Pseudomonadati; Pseudomonadota; Alphaproteobacteria
Description: tRNA-Arg
Rfam family: tRNA
About the family: Transfer RNA (tRNA) molecules are approximately 80 nucleotides in length.
Source: RNAcentral
GGCCCCAUAGCUCAGCUGGACAGAGCAACCGCCUUCUAAGCGGUAGGUCACAGGUUCGAAUCCUGUUUGGGUCGCCA